Cebus imitator (Panamanian white-faced capuchin) is the source of this 821-nucleotide long non-coding RNA. RefSeq lists it as uncharacterized. The record is from RefSeq and is a predicted model, not a curated record. The transcript is spliced from 3 exons. Lineage: Eukaryota; Metazoa; Chordata; Mammalia; Primates; Cebidae.
CCCGCGCGCUGCUGGAGGAGCGACCCUGCUUGGCCCUCAAGAUGCUGGAGACGUUGCCCGCUGCUCUCUGACACCUGCGGUCUCUUAGUCAUGAUCUGCAGAAAAUAGCUGCUGGAGAGCUCUUCAGGGAUACUGGUGCUGCCCUCAUCAGUGCAUUUCUCAAACCCUCAGAGAAGAGAAAGUCCAAUGGAACUUCCCAGGAGACUUGGAAUGAUCUUCCUCAGCAUCAGUAAUUUCUUUAGAGAGAAUUGGGGAGAAAGACGAAGAUAUACAUCUUUAAAAGGAGAUUGUCACUACUUCUCUAAUCCAACUCUACAAAUAUACCUGACUUCAGAGUAUUCCAGCACAGGCAGAAUACACAAUUUUUAAAUCUCCCACUUUUUCUAGGGUGGAAAAAUGUAUAAGAAAGGGAAAGACAAAAGCCCUAUCAAAUGUUUAUGGUGACUUGGUUAAAGAAGGUGUCAGGCACUGUGAUAAGAGUUUGGAUGGGUGAAACGUAACCCUUUCUUUUGUAAUAUGAGAUAAGUUUGGUUGUGAGAUGGGGAGAAGGGAAAGGAAAACCAAACUAAAGCCUUGACCACAGACUUAUUCUAGGCAGAUCAAUUAUAGCAAAAAAAUAGAGUCGAGAAAAUGAAAAUGGAUUUUCUUAUUUUUUUACUGUCUACAAAGUUCUUGGAAAACUACCAUGAAUUUUUAUUAGGCACGUGUACCCAGUUGAGUCAUUGUUGGUGUAGAUGCUCAAAAAACAUUAUAAGUAGCAAUACAUUUGAGUAAAUUGAUGGCUCUGAAAAAAUAAAAUAGUUCAUGCAGAUAAUCUAAUA